UACGUAGGUGGCAAGCGUUGUCCGGAAUUAUUGGGCGUAAAGCGCGCGCAGGCGGUCCUUUAAGUCUGAUGUGAAAGCCCACGGCUCAACCGUGGAGGGUCAUUGGAAACUGGGGGACUUGAGCGCAGAAGAGGAGAGUGGAAUUCCACGUGUAGCGGUGAAAUGCGUAGAGAUGUGGAGGAACACCAGUGGCGAAGGCGACUCUCUGGUCUGUAAAUGACGCUGAGGCGCGAAAGCGUGGGGAGCAAACAGG
RNAcentral lists this ribosomal RNA (253 nucleotides) under uncultured bacterium. RNAcentral describes it as "partial 16S ribosomal RNA". It matches the Rfam family "Bacterial small subunit ribosomal RNA", at positions 524 to 776 of the family's 1533-position model. The record is from RNAcentral.